Molecule: ribosomal RNA, 549 nt
Filed under: ascomycete sp. olrim79
Lineage: Eukaryota; Fungi; Ascomycota
Description: eukaryotic LSU rRNA
Rfam family: 5.8S ribosomal RNA (bases 191-345)
Source: RNAcentral
GAGUAAGGGUCUUCUAGGCCCGAUCUCCCAACCCUUUGUUUAUUAAACCACUGUUGCUUCGGCGGGCCCGUCUUCAUUGACCGCCGGGGGACCGUCAAAACGUCCUCUGGUCCGCGCCCGUCGGUGGCCAACCAUUACAAACUCAUAACUAAACGUGUCAUUAUCUGAAUAUUAUAUUAAAUAAAGCAAAAACUUUCAACAACGGAUCUCUUGGUUCUGGCAUCGAUGAAGAACGCAGCGAAAUGCGAUAAGUAAUGCGAAUUGCAGAAUUCCAGUGAGUCAUCGAAUCUUUGAACGCACAUUGCGCCCUUUGGCAUUCCGAAGGGCAUGCCUGUUCGAGCGUCAUUAUCACCCCUCAAGCCCCCGGCUUGGUGUUGGACGGUCGGUGGGACUACUUUUGUGUUCCCACCCCUCCCAAAGACAAUGACGCGGCCUCGUUGGACCCCCGGUACACUGAGUUCUUAACCGAGCACGUACUGGAUCAGGGCCCGCGGGACACGGUCUGCCUCCCCUCAGGGAGAAUUUUUACAAGGUUGACCUCGGAUCAGG